GACCGCGCCGGCGCAGCGGCGGGCGCGCACGGCGUCGCGCCUGGGCUCGGUGGCGAAACGGCCGGCAACCUGUCCGACCCGUCUUGAAACACGGACCAAGGAGUCUAACAUGUGCGCGAGUCGUUGGGCGCUACGAAACCCGAAGGCGCAAUGAAAGUGAAGGCCCGGUCUCCGGCCGGCCUGGGUGGGAUCCCGGCGGUCUCGGCCGUCGGGCGCACCACCGGCCCGUCUCGUUCGUUACGUCGAGGAGGCGGAGCAAGAGCGUACACGUUGGGACCCGAAAGAUGGUGAACUAUGCCCGAGUAGGACGAAGCCAGAGGAAACUCUGGUGGAGGUCCGCAGCGAUUCUGACGUGCAAAUCGAUCGUCAAACUUGGGUAUAGGGGGGAAAGAUUAAUCGAACCAUAUAGUAGCUGGUUNCUGUCGAAGUUUCCCUCAGGAUAGCUGGCGCUCGUCGUGAGCAGUUUUAUCCGGUAAAGCGAAUGACUGGAGGCCUUGGG
RNAcentral lists this ribosomal RNA (499 nucleotides) under Eiseniella tetraedra. Its description in RNAcentral is "partial large subunit ribosomal RNA". It matches the Rfam family "Eukaryotic large subunit ribosomal RNA", at positions 571 to 1034 of the family's 3401-position model. The record is from RNAcentral. Lineage: Eukaryota; Metazoa; Annelida; Clitellata; Crassiclitellata; Lumbricidae.